GACGAACGCUGGCGGCGUGCCUAAUACAUGCAAGUUGAGCGCUGAAGGUUGGUACUUGUACCCACUGGAUGAGCAGCGAACGGGUGAGUAACGCGUGGGGAAGCUGCCUUUUAGCGGGGGACAACAUUUGGAAACGAAUGCUAAUACCGCAUAAAAACUUUAAACACAAGUUUUAAGUUUUAAAGAUGCAAUUGCAUCACUCAAAGAUGAUCCCGCGUUGUAUUAGCUAGUUGGUGAGGUAAAGGCUCACCAAGGCGAUGAUACAUAGCCGACCUGAGAGGGUGAUCGGCCACAAUGGGACUGGGACACGGCCCAAACUCCUACGGGAGGCAGCAGUAGGGAAUCUUCGGAAAUGGACGACAGUCUGACCGAGCAACGCCGCGGGAGUGAAGAAGGUUUUCGGAUCGUAAAACUCUGUUGGUAGAGAAGAACGUUGGUGAGAGUGGAAAGCUCAUCAAGUGACGGUAACUAACCAGAAAGGGACGGCUAACUACGUG
This 497-nucleotide ribosomal RNA is filed under the name uncultured bacterium. RNAcentral's name for it is "partial 16S ribosomal RNA". It matches the Rfam family "Bacterial small subunit ribosomal RNA", at positions 28 to 507 of the family's 1533-position model. The record is from RNAcentral.